This 262-nucleotide ribosomal RNA is filed under the name uncultured bacterium. Its description in RNAcentral is "partial 16S ribosomal RNA". It matches the Rfam family "Bacterial small subunit ribosomal RNA", at positions 512 to 773 of the family's 1533-position model. The record is from RNAcentral.
CAGCCGCGGUAAUACGGAGGGUGCAAGCGUUGUUCGGAUUUACUGGGCGUAAAGCGCGCGUAGGCGGACAGGUAAGUCGGUUGUGAAAUCCCUGGGCUCAACCUAGGAACUGCAUCCGAAACUGCUUGUCUUGAGUGACGGAGAGGAUAGUGGAAUUCCCGGUGUAGAGGUGAAAUUCGUAGAUAUCGGGAGGAACACCAGUGGCGAAGGCGGCUAUCUGGACGUCCACUGACGCUGAGGCGCGAAAGCGUGGGGAGCAAAC